This 253-nucleotide ribosomal RNA is filed under the name uncultured Lachnospiraceae bacterium. Its description in RNAcentral is "partial 16S ribosomal RNA". It matches the Rfam family "Bacterial small subunit ribosomal RNA", at positions 524 to 776 of the family's 1533-position model. The record is from RNAcentral. Lineage: Bacteria; Bacillati; Bacillota; Clostridia; Lachnospirales; Lachnospiraceae.
UACGGAGGAUGCGAGCGUUAUCCGGAUUUACUGGGUGUAAAGGGAGCGCAGGCGGCGCGUUAAGUCUGAUGUGAAAACCCGCGGCUCAACUGCGGGACUGCAUUGGAAACUGGCGGGCUUGAGUGCCGGAGAGGCAAGCGGAAUUCCUAGUGUAGCGGUGAAAUGCGUAGAUAUUAGGAGGAACACCGGUGGCGAAGGCGGCUUACUGGACCGUAACUGACGUUGAGGCUCGAAAGCGUGGGGAGCAAACAGG